AACGAACGCUGGCGGCAUGCCUAACACAUGCAAGUCGAACGAGACCUUCGGGUCUAGUGGCGCACGGGUGCGUAACGCGUGGGAACCUGCCCUUAGGUUCGGAAUAACUCCCCGAAAGGGGUGCUAAUACCGGAUCAUGUCUUCGGACCAAAGAUUUAUCGCCUUUGGAUGGGCCCGCGUUGGAUUAGCUAGUUGGUAGGGUAAAAGCCUACCAAGGCGACGAUCCAUAGCUGGUCUGAGAGGAUGAUCAGCCACACUGGGACUGAGACACGGCCCAGACUCCUACGGGAGGCAGCAGUGGGGAAUAUUGGACAAUGGGCGAAAGCCUGAUCCAGCAAUGCCGCGUGAGUGAUGAAGGCCUUAGGGUUGUAAAGCCCUUUUACCCGGGAUGAUAAUGACAGUACCGGGAGAAUAAGCUCCGGCUAACUCCGUG
This 433-nucleotide ribosomal RNA is filed under the name uncultured bacterium. RNAcentral's name for it is "partial 16S ribosomal RNA". It matches the Rfam family "Bacterial small subunit ribosomal RNA", at positions 29 to 507 of the family's 1533-position model. The record is from RNAcentral.